RNAcentral lists this ribosomal RNA (253 nucleotides) under uncultured bacterium. Its description in RNAcentral is "partial 16S ribosomal RNA". It matches the Rfam family "Bacterial small subunit ribosomal RNA", at positions 524 to 776 of the family's 1533-position model. The record is from RNAcentral.
UACAGAGGGUGCGAGCGUUAAUCGGAAUUACUGGGCGUAAAGCGUGCGUAGACGGUUAUGUAAGUCGGAUGUGAAAGCCCCGGGCUCAACCUGGGAAUGGCAUUCGAGACUGCAUAGCUAGGAUGCGGAAGAGGGAAGCGGAAUUUCCGGUGUAGCGGUGAAAUGCGUAGAUAUCGGGAGGAAUACCUAUGGCGAAAGCAGGCUACUGGACCAUCACUGACGCUGAUCUGCGAAAGCUAGGGGAGCAAACAGG